This 228-nucleotide ribosomal RNA is filed under the name uncultured bacterium. RNAcentral describes it as "partial 16S ribosomal RNA". It matches the Rfam family "Bacterial small subunit ribosomal RNA", at positions 524 to 746 of the family's 1533-position model. The record is from RNAcentral.
UACGUAGGGUGCAAGCGUUGUCCGGAAUUAUUGGGCGUAAAGAGCUUGUAGGCGGUUUGUCGCGUCUGCUGUGAAAUUUCGGGGCUCAACCCCGAACUUGCAGUGGGUACGGGGCAGACUAGAGUGUGGUAGGGGGAGACUGGAAUUCCUGGUGUAGCGGUGAAAAUGCGCAGAUAUCAGGAGGAACACCGAUGGCGAAGGGCAGGUCUCUGGGGCCACUACUGACGU